This 535-nucleotide ribosomal RNA is filed under the name Acallocrates minutesquamosus. RNAcentral describes it as "partial 16S ribosomal RNA". It matches the Rfam family "Bacterial large subunit ribosomal RNA", at positions 1819 to 2625 of the family's 2925-position model. Lineage: Eukaryota; Metazoa; Arthropoda; Insecta; Coleoptera; Curculionidae. The record is from RNAcentral.
GGCUUUUUGAUUAUGAUUUAAAGUCAGACCUGCCCACUGAGGAGUUAAAUGGCUGCAGUAUUUUGACUGUACAAAGGUAGCAUAAUCAUUUGCUUUUUAAUUGAAAGCUUGUAUGAAAGGUUCGAUGAAAAAAUAACUGUCUCUAAAAAAAUUAAUUAGAAUUUUAUUUUUAAGUUAAAAAGCUUAAAUAAUUAUAGAAGACGAGAAGACCCUAUAGAGUUUUAUAUUAAAAAUAAGUUGGUUGGUUUAGUAUUUUUUAAUUAAUUUUUUUUUAUUAUUUAGUUGGGGUGAUUGAAAAAUUAAAAGAACUUUUUUUAUAUUUUUACAUUGAUAUAUGAAAAUUUGAUCCUUUUUUAAAGAUUACAAGAGUAAAUUACCUUAGGGAUAACAGCGUUAUUUUUUUUUAGAGUUCUAAUCGAAAAAAAAGAUUGCGACCUCGAUGUUGGAUUAAAGAAGAGUUUUGGUGUAGAAGCUAAGAUUUCAGGUCUGUUCGACCUUUAAAUCUUUACAUGAUCUGAGUUUAGACCGGCGUGAG